This 61-nucleotide transfer RNA is filed under the name Ageniella agenioides. RNAcentral's name for it is "tRNA-Cys". Lineage: Eukaryota; Metazoa; Arthropoda; Insecta; Hymenoptera; Pompilidae. The record is from RNAcentral.
AACUUUAUAAUUUAAAUAAAAUAUUAAACUGCAAAUUUAAAAAUGCUAUAAGCUAAAGUUU